Molecule: ribosomal RNA, 395 nt
Filed under: Microbinthus pintaudi
Lineage: Eukaryota; Metazoa; Arthropoda; Insecta; Orthoptera; Gryllidae
Description: partial small subunit ribosomal RNA
Source: RNAcentral
UAUUAUAUUUAAUGUUAAUUGAUUAUCAGGGUAUUAAUAGAGAGUUCUUGAAACCCAAAGAAUUUGGCGGUAUUUUAGUCUUUUCAGAGGAAUCUGUCCUGUAAUUGAUAUUACACGAUUAAUUUUACUUGAUUUUGUUAUCAGUUUAUAUAUCGCCGUCAUAAGAUUAUUUUUUUUAAGAAUAGAAUUUUCUUUUCUUUUUAAUAGAUGAUAUGUCAGGUCAAGGUGUAGCUUAUAAUUAAGUGGAGAUGGAUUACAAUAAUUUUAAUUAUUAUGAAUAAUUAUUUUAAGUUAAUUUGAAGGUGGAUUUGAUUGUAAAUUUAUUUUAAUUGGUAUAUUGAUUGGAGCUCUAGAAUGUGUACAUAUCGCCCGUCGCUCUCAUUAUUUAAGAUGAG